UUAAAUCCCCACUAGGGAUAAGGAGCUGGUAUCAGGCUCAAUUAUUAGCCCAAAACACCUAGCUAUGCCACACCCACAAGGGAAAUCAGCAGUGAUUAACAUUGGAUAUUAGUGACAACUUGAUCCAGUUAAAGUAAAAAGAGCCGGCAAAUCUGGUGCCAGCCGCCGCGGUUACACCACGUGGCUCAAAUUGACCUUUUUCGGCGUAAAGCGUGAUUUAAGGAACCUAAAAAUAUAGUUAAAUUAAAAUUAAGCUGUGACACGCUUAUUUACGAGAAAUACAAUAACGAAAGUUACUAUAACUAAAUUAACUUGAAUUCACAUCAGCUAGGGUACAAACUGGGAUUAGAUACCCCACUAUGCCUAACCGUAAACUUUAACUUACACUAAAAUCGCCAGGGAACUACGAGCAAAGCUUAAAACCCAAAGGACUUGACGGUACCCCAAAUCCACCUAGAGGAGCCUGUCCUAUAAUCGAUAAUCCCCGCUAAACCUCACCAUUUUUAGCCUCUUCAGCCUGUAUACCUCCGUCGUCAGCUUACCACGUGAGCGAAUUAUAGUGAGCUUAAUGUUAUUACACCAACACGUCAGGUCAAGGUGCAGCAAAUAAAAUGGAAAGAGAUGGGCUACACUCUCUAAAAUAGAAUAUACGAAAAACUAGCUAUGAAACCUAGUUUGAAGGCGGAUUUAGAAGUAAAAAG
RNAcentral lists this ribosomal RNA (701 nucleotides) under Sphaenorhynchus orophilus (Lutz's lime treefrog). RNAcentral describes it as "partial 12S ribosomal RNA". It matches the Rfam family "Bacterial small subunit ribosomal RNA", at positions 331 to 1345 of the family's 1533-position model. The record is from RNAcentral. Lineage: Eukaryota; Metazoa; Chordata; Amphibia; Anura; Hylidae.